This 405-nucleotide long non-coding RNA is filed under the name Helianthus annuus (common sunflower). Its description in RNAcentral is "hypothetical non coding rna". The record is from RNAcentral. Lineage: Eukaryota; Viridiplantae; Streptophyta; Magnoliopsida; Asterales; Asteraceae.
UCAUAUUUUAGCAAAGCCCUAGCCUCUCCUACAAGUCGGCGAUGGUUCCUCUUCUUAGUCCCAUCAAUCCAUCAUCUUGGCAGCCAUACUCCUCUUAUUCUUGUAUACCCGUUGACUCUGCAAUCACAGGUCACGUGUAACAGACCUCACUAGUAUUUAACGCGUAGAGGCACAUUAUCAGACCGAGCAAACUAAGGUCGUUAGGUAAUCUUGUAUUUGGGAACUUGCUGUCUGGAGUAGCUGCAGUGGUCAUGGGUCGACUGGAAGAAUUCAUGUGAUUGAUUAUUGACAGUAUACAUUGGUUUUGAACAAUUUAACUUUGGUUUACUAUUUGCUUCCGCUGAACAUGUUGGUUUUCAUUUAAACUUGUUGAAGGUAUUUUUAUUAAUAAUUGAGAACUUUAUU